Long non-coding RNA from Dermochelys coriacea (leatherback sea turtle), 950 nucleotides. RefSeq lists it as uncharacterized. The transcript has 4 exons. The record is from RefSeq and is a predicted model, not a curated record. Lineage: Eukaryota; Metazoa; Chordata; Testudines; Dermochelyidae.
GGGGAGGGGUUAGUUCAUAUGCAGAGUUAUGACAGUGUACAGUUAUGAUAGCGGACUAAAAAGAAUAUUUGGCUUUUUAGAAAGAAGAGAACAAAAAAAUAAAAGAUAAGAAAACUCAGCUACUUAAUAGAAGGCAUCCAGUAUUCAGGUUGUAGACAUUGUGUUGAGACAGGACAGAGAUUGAAUAUAUAUGAACUCUUCUGAAUGAAAUAAUUCAUAUUGCAUCUAUUUCACAUUCACUUCUAUCAAGCUACAUUGAUAUUCAGUCUAUGGAUUCAAUUUAGGACCAUAUGAUCAUCAUAAUUAGAGUUGGGAAAAAACUAUUAGUCUUUCCCCUCCUUCCUUACUUGAAGAACUACAUUUUAGUUUGUAAAUUUAAAAUAAUGCAUAUGCUGUUUAUUUGUUAAGUUAAAUUCACCUGCUGAAUACAAUAUUCAUGUUUAAGGGAUAUUCCAUAUGCAUACCUUCUGCCAUUUACAUUCCAACUGACUCCCCCCCAUUCAUGGGCAUUGUUUUGGUACCCUAGACACUUUGGUGCUUCAACAUAGGAAGUAUAAUUCUAUUGUAUGUUUUUCAUCCUUAUCAUCUGAGCUUGCUUUCUUUCUUUCUUUCUUUCUUUCUUUCUUUCUUUCUUUCUUUCUUUCUUUCUUUCUUUCUUUCUUUCUAAUAGAUGUAGAUCUGAAACAUAACUGUGUUUUUACAGUGAGUUCAUUAGAUUGCUGGAAUAUGUUCUCUAGAGAGGUAGGGUGUUUUCGUGGCUCCUGUUGCUUUGGACAAGUCUCAAUUUCAGACAGGCACAUUCUUCUGUCAAAGGGGGUCCCCAAUCCUUUGGCCUUUGGCCUACUAAGGCCCCAUAAGACUGAUGGGUGAUCUCUAGUGCUGACUGUUACUGGAGAUGAAGUCCAAGAAUGAGAAAACAUUUACUGAUGCUGAAAUAUGAAUUCUAGCUG